GACGUUUAGCGACAGAAGAAGCACCGGCUAACUCCGUGCCAGCAGCCGCGGUAAUACGGAGGGUGCGAGCGUUAAUCGGAAUUACUGGGCGUAAAGCGCAUGCAGGUGGUUUGUUAAGUCAGAUGUGAAAGCCCGGGGCUCAACCUCGGAAUUGCAUUUGAAACUGGCAGACUAGAGUACUGUAGAGGGGGUAGAAUUUCAGGUGUAGCGGUGAAAAUGCGUAGAGAUCUGAAGGAAUACCGGUGGCGAAGGCGGCCCCCUGGACAGAUACUGACACUCAGAUGCGAAAGCGUGGGGAGCAAACAGGAUUAGAUACCCUGGUAG
RNAcentral lists this ribosomal RNA (324 nucleotides) under uncultured bacterium. RNAcentral describes it as "bacterial SSU rRNA". It matches the Rfam family "Bacterial small subunit ribosomal RNA", at positions 471 to 793 of the family's 1533-position model. The record is from RNAcentral.